GAAAUCUUAGUCUAAUAAAAGACAGCUGAUUUCGACUCAGCAGAUUGUGGUGCAACCCCAUAAUAUUUC
Molecule: transfer RNA, 69 nt
Filed under: Allobates sp. Huanuco
Lineage: Eukaryota; Metazoa; Chordata; Amphibia; Anura; Aromobatidae
Description: tRNA-Arg
Rfam family: tRNA
About the family: Transfer RNA (tRNA) molecules are approximately 80 nucleotides in length.
Source: RNAcentral